GCCCCAAUAGUCUAAUCUGGAUAGGACGCAACCCUGCGGAGGUUGAAUUCGGCGUUCAAAUCGCCGUUGGGGCGCCA
RNAcentral lists this transfer RNA (77 nucleotides) under Microcaldota archaeon. RNAcentral describes it as "tRNA-Arg". It matches the Rfam family "tRNA". From Rfam's summary of the family: Transfer RNA (tRNA) molecules are approximately 80 nucleotides in length. Their secondary structure includes four short double-helical elements and three loops (D, anti-codon, and T loops). Further hydrogen bonds mediate the characteristic L-shaped molecular structure. tRNAs have two regions of fundamental functional importance: the anti-codon, which is responsible for specific mRNA codon recognition, and the 3' end, to which the tRNAs corresponding amino acid is attached (by aminoacyl-tRNA synthetases). tRNAs cope with the degeneracy of the genetic code in two manners: having more than one tRNA (with a specific anti-codon) for a particular amino acid; and 'wobble' base-pairing, i.e. permitting non-standard base-pairing at the 3rd anti-codon position. Lineage: Archaea; Nanobdellati; Microcaldota. The record is from RNAcentral.